AACUUUUUUUUUUUUAGGGAAGCACGAAGAUACCCUCAACAGGCUGGAUCUAGAAAUGCGCACUUAUCACACACAAUGUUUCAAAAACAACUUUUACCUCUGGCUUGUCUUCGAGCAUUUUUUCUGUCCUUUCUUUCGUCGGUGCCUGGAAAGACCCCCCCUUCUUCACACGUCAUCGUCUGUACGCAUGCUUGAGCUGUUUUACCUGUUGAACUCAUCGCACUCUUUGUUUCGAGCUCUUCUGGAGUUAGAUGGAUAGAUGGGCAGUGAGGCUCAUUACAAUGCUUGGUCUUGGCAUAGGAUGAACAAAUUUUUUCCAACUGGUUGUCAACGGCCAACGGUGGUGGAAAAGUGUUUGGUAUCUGAUUGGUUCUUUGAUGAUUCCACACAAAAUUUUGAUAAGCACAAGUGACAAAAUCUGUUUCGCCAGCUUCGCUUUGUGUUCGGUGAAUAUUUUUCACAUAAGUGGUUCUAUUCAAAGCUGAGCAGUUUUCACUGAACAGCAUGACACUUUUGCAUCCCUUUUUGUGAACCAGUAAAUAGCACCCGGGUACCAAGGUGUGGCAACGCUUCAAAACUAGGUACAAAAAAUGUAAUGAAAUUCGAGGAUUAAAUGCGAUCUUAUCACAGAGAUCUUUUUGACUCAGCACGUUGACGUGGCUUAGUUUGAGUUCGUAUGGAUCCACCCAUGUUACGAGCGCCUCAGAAUUUCCUGAGAUGAGUAAGCGCGUCCACAAUCGAGACAAUUCUGUCUGAGUCAAUUCUUCUCUGUAUUGAUCGCCGGGGAUGUAUUGUAUUUUAGAGAAAAUGACCGUCGACCUUUGCUGUACCUCUGACUCGAAUUCGGACGUGAGACGGUACUCAGAUGUCGUGGGCGAUGACCGUGGCGCCAAACUGUCGAUCUUGUGCCGAACUAGCAAAACCAAGUCAUCGUUCAAGACCCAUUCGGCGUAGUUGAGGUUGUCCGUGCCUGUCCUCAAAUCAGGAUACUCAUAGAAGUGGCUGUCUUUAGAUGGAAGGAUUUUAGCAGGUUGGUAAACGUCUCAGGUACAAGAGGUUUAUCUAAGAAAACGACUUGGCGAGUGGUGUGGCGAGACUCGCAAUUUGUAUCUAGGACAGAAACGGUAUCUACGAUGACAGGGAUUUCCCAUGUGAUAUUCAUAUCUGAACACAUAAGAGUUUGUAGCGUGGAAGAAGAAAGUGCACAUGUGAAUUUCCCUUGAUUGCCCAUAUUGCGGAUGUUAGCGUCUCUAGAUACUACAGGGUGUAUCUUUUUGAUGAAUUUAGAUCCGCUCGAUGGGAACUCGAAUGAUUGGUUGGUCCAAUAGGGUAUAUAGUCGUAAGUAUUUGGCGUUAUCUUGAACCCUGGCAGUGGGUAUUGCUCGAUAGAAAAUGCAUAUCCUAUAGACUGCAUGCUAUGGCUGCACUUAAGAUUCAAAUGACACAGCGCUGUUGAAUUUGGUGUUGAUAAAUGGAUGUCAGAACUUGGCAAAAGAGCGUAGACAGGUGGAUAGCACAUUUUUGUUUUGGCGCGAAUGAUGACUUGGAUCAGCUUUGCGAUCUUGGUGGGAAGCAUAGUGUAAUAUAUUCCAUAAUGCUUGAGAAUUUCUUGUUUAAUCUGAGAUAAAUAGCGAUGUUGUUCCAUACGCACGCGUUGUAGUAGACUCAAGUCGGCUGGUUUGCUAUUGGAAGCUGAA
Molecule: long non-coding RNA, 1697 nt
Organism: Schistocerca gregaria
Lineage: Eukaryota; Metazoa; Arthropoda; Insecta; Orthoptera; Acrididae
Exons: 3
Source: RefSeq, a predicted model, not a curated record